Molecule: ribosomal RNA, 516 nt
Filed under: uncultured bacterium
Lineage: Bacteria
Description: bacterial SSU rRNA
Rfam family: Bacterial small subunit ribosomal RNA
Source: RNAcentral
AACUUAGCAGAGAUGCUUUGGUGCCUUCGGGGAACUCUGAGACAGGUGCUGCAUGGCUGUCGUCAGCUCGUGUUGUGAAAUGUUGGGUUAAGUCCCGCAACGAGCGCAACCCUUAUCCUUUGUUGCCAGCGGCUCGGCCGGGAACUCAAAGGAGACUGCCGGUGAUAAACCGGAGGAAGGUGGGGAUGACGUCAAGUCAUCAUGGCCCUUACGGCCAGGGCUACACACGUGCUACAAUGGCGCAUACAAAGAGAAGCGACCUCGCGAGAGCAAGCGGACCUCACAAAGUGCGUCGUAGUCCGGAUUGGAGUCUGCAACUCGACUCCAUGAAGUCGGAAUCGCUAGUAAUCGUAGAUCAGAAUGCUACGGUGAAUACGUUCCCGGGCCUUGUACACACCGCCCGUCACACCAUGGGAGUGGGUUGCAAAAGAAGUAGGUAGCUUAACCUUCGGGAGGGCGCUUACCACUUUGUGAUUCAUGACUGGGGUGAAGUCGUAACAAGGUAGGCGUAGCGAG